Papaver somniferum (opium poppy) is the source of this 524-nucleotide long non-coding RNA. RefSeq lists it as uncharacterized. The transcript is spliced from 3 exons. NCBI's taxonomy places the organism in Eukaryota, Viridiplantae, Streptophyta, Magnoliopsida, Ranunculales, Papaveraceae. The record is from RefSeq and is a predicted model, not a curated record.
GGCGAAAUGAACCAAGAAAUAAUUUCUUAUGAUGAAGGAUGCUUCCCCAAUGAUGAAAUGAUGUUAAUCCCAGUAAUUUGGAUUCUUUGCACUUGGUAGGCCAUGAGAAUGAGCAGAGUGCCCUCUUUGCUACGAUGGUUUUGCAGUUCUGCUACAAAGAGAAUUAUUACUGCAAAAGACCAUUCUUCAGUUCAGCUUAACAUUGGUCAUAUUGAUGACAGUGGAUUUGAGCUAGCUAGUUAUGGAGAACUUUUGAAGGUGCAUUGUGAGGUUUGAUGGCUUUGUAGAUGAGAAUCCAUUAUCUCCUGAUUAUAAUUAUGUGAAUCACUUCCUUCAUGCUACAGCCUAAUCCCUCACGGUGCUUUUGAUUCCUUCCAUGAUGUUAUUAGAGUAUGAGUACUCCAUCAAGAUCCCAAUGGUGAAUGAUCAGAGAGGAACUUAAACACAAGAAUGAUGGAAGUAUGAAUCUCUUAUCAUGAGCUUGGUGCUACAAAGUCGAAGGAGUGUUCAUCUUUUAUUUAAAA